AUCCCGUAAUGACGUAUCAUUUGAUCGUGAAUUUAUUUAAGAACUAUACGAUAAAUCCUCUCUUUAUCAUACACUAGCAUAGUUCUAGAAACUUCAUCACAGUGCAAGAGUUCAAGGAAGAUGUCACUUUGUGAUGAAAAAUAUCUGAAUAACUAUUGUUCAAUAAUCAAUAAUUCAUAUACAAGGAUGAACUCAAUCGUCGCAUGAUUGGUUUUAGGAUACAAUUCUUAAUAGUUAGAUCCUAUUGUCAGUCAUAUGCAAGAUUGGCUCGAUUCAAAUUUAUUUGUAAAUCCUGUGAAAAUUUUUUUCUAGUAUUCAUUCUUACUU
Molecule: long non-coding RNA, 327 nt
Filed under: Elaeis guineensis (African oil palm)
Lineage: Eukaryota; Viridiplantae; Streptophyta; Magnoliopsida; Arecales; Arecaceae
Description: long non-coding RNA (EGUI_LNC061551)
Source: RNAcentral